RNAcentral lists this ribosomal RNA (253 nucleotides) under uncultured bacterium. RNAcentral's name for it is "partial 16S ribosomal RNA". It matches the Rfam family "Bacterial small subunit ribosomal RNA", at positions 524 to 776 of the family's 1533-position model. The record is from RNAcentral.
GACGGAGGGCGCUAGCGUUGUUCGGAAUCACUGGGCGUAAAGGGCGCGCAGGCGGCCCGGCGAGUCGGGCGUGAAAGCCCGGGGCUCAACCCCGGAACGGCGUCCGAUACUGCCGGGCUCGAGGCCUGGAGAGGGUGGUGGAAUACCCAGUGUAGAGGUGAAAUUCGUAGAUAUUGGGUGGAACACCGGUGGCGAAAGCGGCCACCUGGCCCGGUCCUGACGCUGAGGCGCGAAAGCGUGGGGAGCAAACAGG